Molecule: ribosomal RNA, 279 nt
Filed under: uncultured bacterium
Lineage: Bacteria
Description: partial 16S ribosomal RNA
Rfam family: Bacterial small subunit ribosomal RNA
Source: RNAcentral
UGCCAGCCGCCGCGGUAAUACGGAGGGAGCUAGCGUUGUUCGGAAUUACUGGGCGUAAAGAGCGUGUAGGCUGUUAGGUAAGUCAGAGGUGAAAGCCCUAAGCUCAACUUAGGAACUGCCUUUGAUACUAUCUAACUAGAGAUCGAGAGAAGUUAGCGGAAUUCCAAGUGUAGAGGUGAAAUUCGUAGAUAUUUGGAAGAACACCAGUGGCGAAAGCGGUUAACUGGCUCGUAUCUGACGCUGAGACGCGAAAGCGUGGGUAGCAAACAGGAUUAGAUA